RNAcentral lists this unclassified non-coding RNA (1109 nucleotides) under Leishmania donovani. RNAcentral describes it as "gene:LdHU3.05.0100(CDS-product:dynein_light_chain _putative)". Lineage: Eukaryota; Euglenozoa; Kinetoplastea; Trypanosomatida; Trypanosomatidae. The record is from RNAcentral.
CUGAGUGCUGUGGACCCAGCUUCAUCACGUCAUCAUGCCGCUCAAAUACUUGGAGAUGUCCUACAAUGCGGACAUGCCGAAGGACAUGAUCAAAGAGGCGCAAAAUCUUAUCAUCGAGGCCUUCGAGACGGAGUCCCUCGAGAACGCCGUAGCGACGCACAUCAAGCGCGAGUUUGUGAAGAGGUACAAAGGCGUGUGGCACUGCGUCGUAGGCAAGAACUUUGGCUCCUUCGUCACGCACGAAAUGAAGGGCUACAUCUACAUAACAUGGGGACAGAUUUCGAUCCUUCUGUGGAAAACGUUGAGCUAAGAGAGGGCCCCAUGCUGUCUCUGCUUCCUGUUUUCCUCCUACUCGGCUGCUCUUUCCAGCGGCGAUCGCGGCAGCGGCGGUUGCACCAGAGUACACAGCGGAAGACAGAUGUAAACAAAGAAAAUGUGCGCCUUUAAAUGAGGCAGCGAAGAGAAAGAGAAGGAUGAAGCGGUUGCGGUGAGCGAUGACGCAUUACCUUGUGAUAUCUGUUUUAGAUCUCUCUGUCUGUGAGGUGCGACGCGGCCUUCUCCCCCCUUCCGUUUCUUCUACCAUCCCCGUUGCGGUGGUUUUUCGGCUUGUAAACAAAGAAGGAAGACAGGAGGUGCCCAGACAGCUAUGCGCGCGAGACUGUAAGGAAGAAGGAGCAACGACUAGUGCGCGCGUUGCAAGGCGGCAGCGCGAAGCGUGCACUUGUAGUUCUCGGUGACCUUGUGGCUCGGCAUAGGUGUCCUUUGCCUGCGCGCCGGGAACCGCAUGACAGCGACCUACGCAAAAAGGGCUGCCGCGGAGUGUUGGUGACAUCCUCCUUCCGAGCCUGAUGGUGUAGCGGAGUCACGCUCGUUUUGUGGGUCACUGGUGGUCUCGUUGCCUACCUUUGGGUGCCUCCUAGCACUGUUGGCCCUGCAGCCCUCCUCAUGUGUGUCGCGAGCGCCGGUUUUCGGCGUCUACUCCUCUGUGUUUCCUUUUCUACUUGAUCACACCUCAGAUCUUACGCCCUCCUCCCUCCCGAUUCAUGUUGGCUCCCUUUCAACCACCGCUUCCCACCUCGAUACCUCACACACGCCUACAUAACACCUAG